Molecule: ribosomal RNA, 640 nt
Filed under: uncultured bacterium
Lineage: Bacteria
Description: bacterial SSU rRNA
Rfam family: Bacterial small subunit ribosomal RNA
Source: RNAcentral
CGCGGCCUAUCAGCUUGUUGGCGGGGUAACGGCCCACCAAGGCAACGACGGGUAGCUGGUUUGAGAGAACGAUCAGCCACACUGGAACUGAGACACGGUCCAGACUUCUACGGAAGGCAGCAGUAGGGAAUCUUGCGCAAUGGGUGAAAGCCUGACGCAGCGACGCCGCGUGCGGGAUGACGGCCCUAGUGGUUGUAAACCGCUUUCAGCAGGGACGAAAAUGACGGUACCUGCAGAAGAAGUCCCGGCUAACUACGUGCCAGCAGCCGCGGUAAUACGUAGGGGACAAGCGUUGUCCGGAUUCAUUGGGCGUAAAGAGCUCGUAGGCGGUUCAGUAAGUUGGGUGUGAAAGCUCCGGGCUCAACCCGGAGAGGCCACUCGAUACUGCUGUGACUAGAGUCCAGUAGAGGAGCGUGGAACUCCUGGUGUAGCGGUGAAAUGCGCAGAUAUCAGGAAGAACACCGGCAGCGAAGGCGGCGCUCUGGGCUGGUACUGACGCUGAGGAGCGAAAGCAUGGGUAGCAAACAGGAUUAGAUACCCUGGUAGUCCAUGCCGUAAACGUUGGGCACUAGGUGUGGGAGGGAAUCAACCCCUUCCGUGCCGUAGCUAACGCAUUAAGUGCCCCGCCUGGGGAGUACGG